This 510-nucleotide ribosomal RNA is filed under the name uncultured bacterium. Its description in RNAcentral is "partial 16S ribosomal RNA". It matches the Rfam family "Bacterial small subunit ribosomal RNA", at positions 28 to 507 of the family's 1533-position model. The record is from RNAcentral.
GACGAACGCUGGCGGCGUGCUUAACACAUGCAAGUCGAACGAAGAGCGACGGAAGCUUGCCUCUAUCAAUCUUAGUGGCGAACGGGUGAGUAACGCGUAAUCAACCUGCCCUUCAGAGGGGGACAACAGUUGGAAACGACUGCUAAUACCGCAUACGAUCUAACCUCGGCAUCGAGGAUAGAUGAAAGGUGGCCUCUACAUGUAAGCUAUCACUGAAGGAGGGGAUUGCGUCUGAUUAGCUAGUUGGAGGGGUAACGGCCCACCAAGGCGAUGAUCAGUAGCCGGUCUGAGAGGAUGAACGGCCACAUUGGGACUGAGACACGGCCCAGACUCCUACGGGAGGCAGCAGUGGGGAAUCUUCCGCAAUGGACGAAAGUCUGACGGAGCAACGCCGCGUGAGUGAUGACGGCCUUCGGGUUGUAAAGCUCUGUUAAUCGGGACGAAAGGCCUUCUUGCGAAUAGUGAGAAGGAUUGACGGUACCGGAAUAGAAAGCCACGGCUAACUACGUG